AAGACCUUGCACUUUUGGAGCGGCCGAUGUCUGAUUAGCUAGUUGGUGGGGUAAAGGCCUACCAAGGCGACGAUCAGUAGUUGGUCUGAGAGGACGACCAGCCACACUGGGACUGAGACACGGCCCAGACUCCUACGGGAGGCAGCAGUGGGGAAUUUUGGACAAUGGGCGCAAGCCUGAUCCAGCAAUGCCGCGUGAGUGAAGAAGGCCUUCGGGUUGUAAAGCUCUUUCAGUCGAGAAGAAAAAGCUGCAGUGAAUAACUGUAGUUCAUGACGGUAUCGACAGAAGAAGCACCGGCUAACUACGUGCCAGCAGCCGCGGUAAUACGUAGGGUGCGAGCGUUAAUCGGAAUUACUGGGCGUAAAGGGUGCGCAGGCGGCUUUGUAAGUCAGAUGUGAAAUCCCCGGGCUUAACCUGGGAAUU
Molecule: ribosomal RNA, 423 nt
Filed under: uncultured bacterium
Lineage: Bacteria
Description: bacterial SSU rRNA
Rfam family: Bacterial small subunit ribosomal RNA
Source: RNAcentral